This 564-nucleotide long non-coding RNA is filed under the name Homo sapiens (human). RNAcentral describes it as "novel transcript". Lineage: Eukaryota; Metazoa; Chordata; Mammalia; Primates; Hominidae. The record is from RNAcentral.
GGAAUGACCACUGAAAACCACCUCUCCUGCAAGGUUAACUUCUUAUAGGAGAAUUAAAAACUAAGAAAUCAGAGCCUGUGAACUUGUUGUUUCUGAAAAAGGAGUCAGUUGCUAUUGGAAUAUUAUUUAAGGAGACACAUGUCAAUGCCAUUCUACAAAAAUGACACUUGACCCUGGAACUCAGCUUGGCCAAACCUGCCUCCGAUCCAAAUUGUGUUCUCGGUUAUAACUUCAUCAAUGGCGUUUCUCCAAGGCCAAAGUCAAACCUCUGCCAGAGGAAGAUACCAAAGCUUCAAAGGUGGCAAAACACUAUGGCAAAAACAGUGAUUGGCUUUCUAGAUGAUGAGCAGAAUGAACCUGCCUCACUAUCAAGGGCAAUGGGUGAAAAAUAACUCGGCAUUCAGGACUUUCCAGGAGGAACCAGACUUAUCCUUGUAAUAUCUGCACCCAUCAUCCAAGUCCACUUGGAGGAGACAAGAGAAGAGGAAAGGUUGUUAUUUCUUUUUGCUCUCCUUCAUUAGCCAAAUGAAGAGGAUGCAAUAAAACCAUGAUAACUUCUCAUAG